AUCGAAGGGUCUCUGAUUUACUUCAUAUUAAUUAUUUAAUUCAUUAAUUUUGAACCACUUGAAUAUUUGGCAAAUAAUAUUGAAAAAUUAUAAAUAUUGUUACUUAAAAGUUCACCUCACUCGUCCUAGAACUACUCCUAUGUUAACACGCUUAACUCUCUUAAUCUUUUGGGCCUAGCCAUCACCCAAAAUACUUAAGUCAGGCUAAAAGUUUUAGUCCUAUUAUUUCUUAUAUAUAGAGCUAUCUGGGAUCUCACAAAAUCAAAUAUCGAUCAUAUCAUCCAAAGUGUCGUAGAAGUAAAUAGUUCUAGAAGUAUUCUAGCAUUAUUUUGUUCAUUUUAGGUCUGAGUAUUAAUUGUCUGCUACAUUACAUUAUUUUGAGUGUUUGAUAGUUUAUGUGUGGCAUGAAUGAGAUGCGCGUUGAAGCUUGAGCCUAGGUGUACUUCUUUCUUGUCACUGAGGGCAUUGGUGCGACGGAAAGUUUUUUUUGGGAGUGUGCACCAAAUGACGCGACUACCGACAUCAGCAAAAGGAAUCAGGCUGAUUGAAGUACUCAGUCUCUUUUCUCCUAUAUAGGCUCCAUUUAGAUACCCUUUAAAACAUAGCAUAGUUAAAUUAUACUAUACUAGUAAGAGUAUUAUAUAUCCUAUAAAGUCUUUAGCACAGACAAAAGAUCACCUAUUUUUUGGAGUAUAGUCAAGCUAUACUCCAUAAAAUGAAGUAAAAUAAUUAUCCGCUCCAAUCAAAGGAAAAAAAUUCCAUCAAUCUUGGGCUCCCUCACCUGCAAGAUAUGCCAAGUGUAAACCCCAAAAUGUGUCAAAGUUUAAACUUUAAAUUUUAAAAUUU
Molecule: long non-coding RNA, 846 nt
Filed under: Ananas comosus (pineapple)
Lineage: Eukaryota; Viridiplantae; Streptophyta; Magnoliopsida; Poales; Bromeliaceae
Description: long non-coding RNA (ACOM_LNC020004)
Source: RNAcentral